Molecule: ribosomal RNA, 826 nt
Filed under: uncultured bacterium
Lineage: Bacteria
Description: bacterial SSU rRNA
Rfam family: Bacterial small subunit ribosomal RNA
Source: RNAcentral
AGAGUUUGAUCCUGGCUCAGAACGAACGCUGGCGGCGUGCCUAACACAUGCAAGUCGUACGAGAAAAUCCGCUUCGGCGGGUGAGUAGAGUGGCGCACGGGUGAGUAACGCGUGGAUAAUCUGCCUUUAAGCUGGGAAUAACUCACCGAAAGGUGGGCUAAUACCCGAUAAUGCUAUGGGACUUCGGUUUUAUAGCCAAAGAGAGCCUCUACAUGUAAGCCUUCACUUAAAGAUGAGUCCGCGUACCAUUAGCUAGUUGGUAGGGUAAUGGCCUACCAAGGCGACGAUGGUUAGCUGGUCUGAGAGGAUGAUCAGCCACACUGGAACUGAGACACGGUCCAGACUCCUACGGGAGGCAGCAGUGAGGAAUAUUGCGCAAUGGGGGCAACCCUGACGCAGCAACGCCGCGUGAGUGAGGAAGGUCUUCGGAUCGUAAAGCUCUGUCGGGUGGGAAGAAGUGUGCAUAGGUUAAUAGCCUGUGCACUUGACGGUACCGCCAAAGGAAGCACCGGCUAACUCCGUGCCAGCAGCCGCGGUAAUACGGGGGGUGCGAGCGUUGUUCGGAAUCAUUGGGCGUAAAGAGCGUGUAGGCGGCUAGGCAAGUCAGAUGUGAAAUCCCUGGGCUUAACCCAGGAAGUGCAUUUGAAACUGCUUAGCUUGAGUAAGGAAGAGGGAAGUGGAAUUCCUGGUGUAGAGGUGAAAUUCGUAGAUAUCAGGAGGAACACCGGUGGCGAAGGCGACUUCCUGGUCCUAUACUGACGCUGAGACGCGAGAGCGUGGGGAGCAAACAGGAUUAGAUACCCUGGUAGUCCACGCCGUAAACGAU